Molecule: long non-coding RNA, 2750 nt
Filed under: Homo sapiens (human)
Lineage: Eukaryota; Metazoa; Chordata; Mammalia; Primates; Hominidae
Description: HSALNT0223466
Source: RNAcentral
GGGCCGGGUAAGGUCCAGCCGUAUCCGCCUCCUUCAUGUCCCGCUGUGGGAGGGGCUCUGGAGCGCCGGGACUGUGAGAUGGCCAAUGACGGUCUGACCCGUUGGGCCGGGCCAGGUCGCGGACAACGUCGACCGUUUGUUUAAGAAGCGUGGACUCUUGUCCUGAGUGCACCGAGGCUUUCAGCCUGCGGGACAGUGGUGCGAUUUGCAUUAGAGAAAGGGAGAUGCCAUGUGCUGGCCCAGCACUCCAACAGGGGCCUGACCUCUAGGAACGGGACACUGGAGGAAGCCUAGACAUCUGAACAAAUCAAGUCAUCCAGAUCCACGGUCAGCUCCUGCCCCGACUUGGCCUUCCUCCUGCUGGGCUGGCCCACGGACCUCGGGAACCUGCCCUGGCUGUGGGUGACCUGCAGCCUAUCUCCCAGGACUAUGGAAGCCCCAUGCAGGAACAUGGUUCUGACACUUUGGGGAUUAUACCCUAAGCUUAAAGGACUGGAAAAGCCCCUGAAGUCCCGAGACCACAACCCUCCACCUUCUAAAGAUAAGACAAGUCACUGAAGGUCUCAGAACUGUGGCCCAUUCACCCCUUCCCUCAAGACAAGAGUGUGGCCAAGCAUCAAUCUCACCCCCAGAGACCAGACGGUGUCCAGGUCUUGGGCAGACGAAACCUGCUCCUUGGGGAUGGUCUUCCUGGCUGUGCUUCCAAAGGGCUGGCCUGCAAUCAGCUGGUUUUCACUUGAUCCUUUCGGGGUUUGCAUUAUAUCUGACUGAAGGAAUGAACUGGGAGAGAACAGCAGAGCCGCAGCGGAAUGUGGAAAGGCCCACGUCCAGACUGUUCCCAUUCUGAUUUAAAAGCCUGAUGAAGGAACAGCUGAACUCAGAGAAACAGCAGGUGCCAUCUGCUUGAGCGUUGUCCUGGUUCACUUCCAGUAUAAAGCUCAGAGUGCAGGAAUAAUAUCCAAGUGCCAGCAAAACCACUUGGGUGGUCGCAAAAUGGAGUGAGGAGGAUCAUGAGGGCUGUGUUUCUGAAGAACCCACAGGGGGAGGCAGCAGGGAUGAACUGCAAAAAAGUGGCAGUCUAUGCUGCACACAUCAGCCCCACAAAAGAAUAACAAAAUCCAGGAGCAGAGAGCUGAGCUACCGUAACUGAGAAUGGCUCCGCAGUGGGGAUGGUUUGAGAACCGUGACCUGGGUCUAGAUGGCCCCUCUUGGAGCUCACUGGGACCCUGCAUACAUUCCCUGCCUAUUGACCUCACACAGCAGUGGCUUAGCUCGGCUGAGAGGAGAACUGUCUGUUCCUCUUUGUUGGUUUAACCAUAUGAUACACAAUCCUGUAAACAAAUUAAUUUCCUCUGGGACUUCUGAAAGCAUGCUAACUGCAUUAUCAUUUUUUUCUGCACAAAGGAAGCUUAGCAAGAAAACAAUUAUGGGAUGGACUUCAAAUGAUCUCCAAAUGGCCAUAAAAUAGAGAUGUAGUCAACAGAGAGGCAGGAGAAAAAAAAAUUAACAAGGUUUUGUUUGCUAAAAUCUAGGAUUCAUUUGAUUUUAAAGCUGUGUGACCCACUUCCAUUCUUUCUCCCUUCCAUCAGCUUUCUGCACAAACCUUUUGCCACCCUCAUUUUUAACAUUUGUAUUCCUCCUCUACUGCCCAGAGCCUUUCUACUCUGUGUUCUCCAAUUCAUCCUAAAAUCAAGACCAAGGUAGAAUUCUCGAACUUGGCCUAUUCUGAAAAAAAUGGACAUGGCUGGGACAGAGAGCUUGUGUGAAUAUUCCCAAUUGGUAAGGAAUGAGUUUGCACACUCAUUUAUUCUGCCAUCAAGCAUUUACUGGCUGUCUGGUUUGUGCCUGACCCUAUGCACUUCCUUAGGGAAUGGAAUAAAAAAAAAUACAUGAUCUUCUCCUUAAAGCAACUUGAUGCUUGAUAGAAUGACAGACAAAGCAAGAAUUGAAACAGAGUGAGGUGACUGCUGUGAUGGGUGAAUGCUUAGAGCUAGGGAGGGGUAGAAGAGGAGAGAGAAGGAGUAUUGCUUAGUUUGGGUCUUGAAAGAUAAGUUACUGUUCUUAAACUACAGUAGUAUACUGUUGAGGGGCACAGAUGGACCAUUCAAGACAGAAAGCUGCAAUGGCCUGUGGGGACAGGCGGAAACUGCCACCCUCCUCCAGUCACUCAGGCCCUAAACCAUAGCUGUGACAGUCUAUCAACUUACAUUCCAACCUCACCUGCAGGACACAAGGGAGAGAGUUGCCAAAGAGGUGGCUGUAGGUAAUGGGGUAUAUACAUUUGGAUACUGGACACAGAGAAGACACAGAUCCAAAGUCUCAUUGGGAUAAGGAAGUUAGGAGAGCUUGAGUUUCCUUGUUCUUAUUAAAAUAUAUGAACACUCCUUCAUUGAUUAUCAAUACCAUCCUGUCUGAAUGCAGACAUCUGGUAGUGGUCUCAUGUCUUCAGCAGGAACUCCCUUCUUUUCUAUCCUAGCCUCCUGUCCACAUCCCAAUAGGCUUAGUGAGUCUUUUGGGUAGAAAAAAAUCUUAGAGCCUUUUAUUCCAAAUCCCUCCUGAUAAGUGAAAGAAGCCAGUCUUAAACAGCUACAUACUGAGCCAGGCAUGGUGGCUCAUGCCUGUAAUUGCAGCACUUUGGGAGGCUGAGGCGGGUGGAUCACUUGAGGUCAGGAGUUCCAGACCAGCCUGGCCAACAUGGCGAAACCCCAUCUCUACCAAAAAUACAAAAAUUAGCUGGGUGUGGUGGCGGG